CAUGCAAGUCGAACGAUGCUUUCGGGCAUAGUGGCGCACGGGUGCGUAACGCGUGGGAAUCUGCCUUGGGGUACGGAAUAACUCAGAGAAAUUUGAGCUAAUACCGUAUGAUGUCUUCGGACCAAAGAUUUAUCGCCCUGAGAUGAGCCCGCGUAGGAUUAGCUAGUUGGUGGGGUAAAGGCCUACCAAGGCGACGAUCCUUAGCUGGUCUGAGAGGAUGAUCAGCCACACUGGGACUGAGACACGGCCCAGACUCCUACGGGAGGCAGCAGUGGGGAAUAUUGGACAAUGGGCGAAAGCCUGAUCCAGCAAUGCCGCGUGAGUGAUGAAGGCCUUAGGGUUGUAAAGCUCUUUUACCCGGGAAGAUAAUGACUGUACCGGGAGAAUAAGCCCCGGCUAACUCCGUGCCAGCAGCCGCGGUAAUACGGAGGGGGCUAGCGUUGUUCGGAAUUACUGGGCGUAAAGCGCACGUAGGCGGCUUGGUAAGUUAGAGGUGAAAGCCUGGAGCUCAACUCCAGAAUUGCCUUUAAGACUGCCGAGCUAGCAGGUGAGAGAGGUAAGUGGAAUUCCGAGUG
Molecule: ribosomal RNA, 575 nt
Filed under: Sphingomonas sp. M73C1
Lineage: Bacteria; Pseudomonadati; Pseudomonadota; Alphaproteobacteria; Sphingomonadales; Sphingomonadaceae
Description: bacterial SSU rRNA
Rfam family: Bacterial small subunit ribosomal RNA
Source: RNAcentral